GGUUCAUUAUUCAUUUGAGCCAGAAAACUCCACAAAAUCAUGCAAAUCAAGAGGUUCAAAUCUUCUUGUUCACUUUAAGAACUCUCGUGCUCUGCCCGUACAUGAACAUUCCCUGACACAUUGAAAUGAUCCUCACUGAAAAGGAACAAUCGGCUCUUAAACCAGAAGAGGAGGUUGCACAGAAGAAAAAGAUAUCCCAGAAGAAACUAAAGAAACAAAAACUAUGGCAUGGGAAUAA
RNAcentral lists this long non-coding RNA (238 nucleotides) under Homo sapiens (human). Its description in RNAcentral is "non-protein coding lnc-FOXO1-4:1". Lineage: Eukaryota; Metazoa; Chordata; Mammalia; Primates; Hominidae. The record is from RNAcentral.